This 416-nucleotide ribosomal RNA is filed under the name Oxyrrhis marina. Its description in RNAcentral is "SSU rRNA". It matches the Rfam family "Eukaryotic small subunit ribosomal RNA", at positions 567 to 990 of the family's 1831-position model. Lineage: Eukaryota; Dinophyceae; Oxyrrhinales; Oxyrrhinaceae. The record is from RNAcentral.
CCAGCAGCUGCGGUAAUUCCAGCUCCAAGAGUGUAUAUUAAAGUUGUUGCGGUUGAAAAGCUCGUAGUUGGAUUUAUGCUAUGCUGGUACAGUCGACCCCCUGGGUAGGACUUGUAUUGUUGCAUUGCACAUUGUAGAAUUUUUGUACGUUUUUCAGUAAAUGUGCAGAAUGCUGCUUAGUUACUUUGAGGAAAGUGGAGUGUCACACGCAGGUUGCGCCGUGAACAUGCUAGCAUGGCAUGACGCUGUAUGACUACGAGUCUUUUUGAAUGGUUUCGGGACACGUGGUAAUGAUUGAUAUGAGGUGUUGGGGAUACUCAUAUUUGACAGUUAGAGGUGAAAUUCUUGGAUUUGUCAAAGAUGAACAAAUGCAAUAGCAUUUAUCAUGGAUGUUUCAUUUGAUCAAGAACGAAAGU